GCCUUCGUAGCUCAGUGGAUAGAGCACCCGCCUCCUAAGCGGGGGGUCGCAGGUUCGAUUCCUGCCGAGGGCACCA
This 76-nucleotide transfer RNA is filed under the name Fontimonas sp. RNAcentral describes it as "tRNA-Arg". It matches the Rfam family "tRNA". From Rfam's summary of the family: Transfer RNA (tRNA) molecules are approximately 80 nucleotides in length. Their secondary structure includes four short double-helical elements and three loops (D, anti-codon, and T loops). The record is from RNAcentral. Lineage: Bacteria; Pseudomonadati; Pseudomonadota; Gammaproteobacteria; Nevskiales; Nevskiaceae. RNAcentral also lists the same sequence under 2 other names.